Molecule: ribosomal RNA, 774 nt
Filed under: uncultured Neocallimastigales
Lineage: Eukaryota; Fungi; Neocallimastigomycota; Neocallimastigomycetes; Neocallimastigales
Description: partial large subunit ribosomal RNA
Rfam family: Eukaryotic large subunit ribosomal RNA
Source: RNAcentral
GUACACGCUGUGACUAGCAUAUCAAUAAGCGAGGAAAAGAAACUAACAAGGAUUCCCCUAGUAACGGCGAGUGAAGCGGGAAGAGCUCAAAUUUGAAAUCUUAAAGGGUUUCCCUUUACGAAUUGUAGUUUAAAGAAGUGUUUUCUGUUGAGGUUUUGGUAAAAGUUCUUUGGAAUAGGACAUCAUAGAGGGUGAGAAUCCCGUAUUUGACCUUUACUUUCAACUUUGUGAUACACUUUCAAAGAGUCGGAUUGUUUGGGAAUGCAGUCCAAAAUGGGUGGUAAAUUUCCAUCUAAAGCUAAAUAUUGGCGAGAGACCGAUAGCGAACAAGUACCGUGAGGGAAAGAUGAAAAGAACUUUGAAAAGAGAGUUAAACAGUACGUGAAAUUGUCAAAAGGGAAGCGUUUGACACCAGUGUUGUUUUUCUGAAAAUCAAUUAAAGAACUGUUUAUGCUAAGCUGUUUAGACUUUAUCAGCUAUCUGUUUAGUUUUGAGCUUUUCUUUAAUGCACUUUUCAGUUAACAAGUCAACAUCAAUUUCUUUUGCUGUAAAAAAGCUUGAGGAAGGUGGCUUGAGAUUCGUCUUAAGUGUUUAUAGCCUCUUGCCUAUGCAGUCGGAGAGAUUGAGGUCUGCAGCGUAGAUCCUUCGGGGCUAAAUGCAUUUGUGCUAAGUUAUAGCAUUUUAUAGACAACUUGUUGACUAUGAUUUGUCUUGUAGCUUACUCGCUUAUGUUAUUUUACCUACGCUUAGGAUGUUGAAGAUGUAGCACAUCAU